AUACGGAGGGUGCAAGCGUUACUCGGAAUCACUGGGCGUAAAGCGCUCGCAGGCGGCUAUUUAAGUUGGAUGUGAAAGCCUACGGCUCAACCGUAGAACUGCAUCCAAAACUAUUUAGCUAGAGUGUGGGAGAGGAAGAUGGAAUUAGUUGUGUAGGGGUAAAAUCCGUAGAGAUAACUAGGAAUACCAAAAGCGAAGGCAAUCUUCUGGAACAUUACUGACGCUGAGGCGCGAAAGCGUGGGGAGCAAACAGGAUUAGAAACCCUAGUAGUCC
This 274-nucleotide ribosomal RNA is filed under the name uncultured bacterium. Its description in RNAcentral is "partial 16S ribosomal RNA". It matches the Rfam family "Bacterial small subunit ribosomal RNA", at positions 523 to 796 of the family's 1533-position model. The record is from RNAcentral.